GACGAACGCUGGCGGCGUGCUUAGCACAUGCAAGUCGAACGGAGCGAAUGAAAGCUUGCUUUUAUGAGCUUAGUGGCAAACGGGUGAGUAACACGUAGACAACCUGCCGACAGGAUGGGGACAACAUUCCGAAAGGAAUGCUAAUACCGAAUGAAGCGGAGGAGAGGCAUCUCUCCUCCGUGAAAGAUGGCCUCUAUUUAUAAGCUAUCACCUGUCGAUGGGUCUGCGUCUGAUUAGCUAGUUGGUGAGGUAACGGCUCACCAAGGCGACGAUCAGUAGCCGGUCUGAGAGGAUGAACGGCCACAUUGGGACUGAGACACGGCCCAGACUCCUACGGGAGGCAGCAGUGGGGAAUCUUCCGCAAUGGGCGCAAGCCUGACGGAGCAACGCCGCGUGAGUGAAGAAGGUCUUCGGAUCGUAAAGCUCUGUUGACGGGGACGAACGUGCGAAGGGUGAAUAAUCCUUUGUAAUGACGGUACCUGUCGAGG
This 488-nucleotide ribosomal RNA is filed under the name Centipeda infelix. Its description in RNAcentral is "bacterial SSU rRNA". It matches the Rfam family "Bacterial small subunit ribosomal RNA", at positions 28 to 487 of the family's 1533-position model. Lineage: Bacteria; Bacillati; Bacillota; Negativicutes; Selenomonadales; Selenomonadaceae. The record is from RNAcentral.